RNAcentral lists this long non-coding RNA (181 nucleotides) under Struthio camelus australis. RNAcentral describes it as "lncRNA (ENSSCUG00000018971.1)". Lineage: Eukaryota; Metazoa; Chordata; Aves; Struthioniformes; Struthionidae. The record is from RNAcentral.
CGCUGCGCCGCUGAUGGCUGGGGACGUCUCACUUCAUCUGUCACCAGGUUGCAUAGCAAUCCAAGGACCCAGACUUCAAUGUUCUUUCUUCAGUAAUUCACCCUUACUGAAAGAGAAAAGAAAAGAGAAAAGAAGAGAAGAGAAGAGGAAAGGAAAGGAGAAGAGAAAAGAGAAGAGAUGA